AGUCCACAAGACAGGCAGCUACGAAGGAAAGAUAGAUACAAAGUGGGGGAAAUCAAGACCAAGCUGGAACCCCAGUGUGAGAUGGAACCCCACACUGAUGGACUAAAACCCGUGUCAAUCCUUGCUGCCUCUAUGUAAGUGGUAUGGGUAUCCUGCAGAAGCAGGGGUCCUUUGGUGUGGAGCUAAACGCAGACCCCUGGCCCAGACACAGGAGCAGAAGAGCUGAAGGAGGAUUCAGGGGAAGUUCUACCGCUUCCCGCCAAUGAGCAAGGAGUGUUUGUGGAAGCUUCCAAGAAGACCAACAGAGUGGAAUGGGGUGCUUGUUUUCAUGGAUCAGAAAUGAAUCACAUCGACUUUUUUCAGUAAUGACACAGAGUUGUGGAGUCUUGGGAAAGAAACAACAGAAAGAAAAGGUUUUCUGGUGGAGACCUGUGAGAAGAAUAAAGGCUCCUGAACGGAGAACUGGGAUUAGGAGAGAAAGAUGGACAGUGGUUGGACUCUUGAAGGACAAUAAACUUGCCGUGCUUGUUAAUGCCUGACCGCUGUUUACAGCUGGUGCUGUUUACACCUGGUGCUGUUUCCAAAUGUUCUCCGUAAGCAUCCGUUCUGCUCCAGGGUCCUCAGAAAGACAGGUUAAUAGUUGACUGAAGGGAAGGGAGGCAAAGGGGGAUUGUGUCAGUGUGUCCACAGCUGAACUCUUCUUAGGGCUGAAGGCACAUAAGGGGGUAUCAUGCCCAGCUCUGAAAAUAAAGCGUUAUUGGCUCCAGUCAGAAACUGUCACUUUCUGCUGAGAUGGAAUAUAUUACUCAGAAGAGAGAAGCACCAAAUAUUAUGCAGUCUGCCUUUGGGGAAAGAAAAAAACACCCACUUCUUAUAAAAACACUUUUUUGGGAUGAAGGAUUUGAUUUCAACUGGUGAGUCAUCCCUGUGUUUUUUUGUUUUUUUUUCUUUAACCACUUAGCCAAAAAAUGAGGUUUUUAAAAAAGCAUUUCUCGAAGCAAAAUCUUCCACUGCUUGAGUUUCUCUCAUUUGACAUGGAAGGCAUCCUAAGUGCUUAUAUCCACAGCACCAGAAGCUGCCCCAGUUUGCAUGAAAGAUAUUGUAGGACAAGAUUUAUAAUGAUCAAGUUUCAGGCUCAUUAGGAAAAAGCAACCUCAAGAUACUAUUUGUGAUCUAGAAGUGAGAAAUGAUCAAGCAACAGAAAAUAAAAUUUAAAACACAAAUUUCAAUGAGUGUGUUUGAAAAUGACACAGUGAAUGUCAGAAGGCAAAGGAGCUGAAGAGGGCUGUGGACAUUGUAGCAGGAAGCACCAUAUGUCUUGGUCUAGCAAGGACAGUCCUGGUUCAUGUUGGAAAAGCACCUACUUUCACUCUCAAGGAUGUCUUGCUUUGGACAGUGGGUUAUACGCUCGCCCCAGAUGUAGUGGUUUGAAAGCAUGUCUGCCGAUUCUUUGACACUCUUAACCAUCAAGAAGUCUGUGUCCCUUCUCCUCGGAAACGGAUGGGCUUUUGUGACUGCCUGGGUGAGUGGUACGUGACAGCAGAGAAUCCUGUAAGAAGCCUCGCUGCCCUGGAUCUGCGUGCUGGAAGCACUACAUGGAGAGACCAGAGAGCAGAGCCAGAGGUGCCUGAGGAGCACCCCCUGCUGGGGUCUUCCCUGUCAAGACACCAGACAUAUGAGUGAGGAAGGCUUCGUGAUGACCCCAGCCCCCAUCCAACUACAGCCACAUGAGAGACCCCUAGUAAGAGCUGCGCGGCUGAGCCCAGGCAACUCUAGAACCGUGGGAGAAAAAUAACAAAUUAUGGUGCUCUUUUAUGUCAAGAAGUUUGAGGUAGUUUGUGAUGCAGCGAUAGGUAAGCCAGAUGCUAAUUACAGGUUGGUUAACUACCUUGAGGGCCCCCACUGAGGACUUUUACGUUGCUGACAGUUUUCCAUCAUGUGCCUUCACUCACUACGCCACGGCUGCCCUGGCCCCCUUUCGUUCCAUUCUCCCUAGAGCCACGUUCCUCUUGAGCCAGGACCCACUGUCUAGAAUGCUCUCCACUCCUCCCUCCCUCCUCCAGGUCCCAGCUUAAAAACCCCUGCCCGAUCCCUCUAAUAAAAUCUUAGCUCUCUCAUAGCCACCUGGGAGAGAUUACAUUUUCCAAAAAUUGCCCGAGCCACGUUUGUGAUCUUACGUGCUGUUCCAAAACCUCAUCUUUCCCUUAUCAAGAGGUAGGGACUACUUCCUUUCCCCUUGAAGUUGUGCAGGACAUUGCGACUGCAUGGAUGGUACGGCAUCCACCCUGCUCUCUCUCAGGACACACACCCUGGGAGCCCAGCCACCACAUUGUCGGGAAGCCCAGGUCAGGCGGAGAGGCCACGUGGUGUAUUCCAUCUGAUAGGUCCAGCUGAAGUCCCAGCAGAGAGCCGUCAUGAACUGCCAGACAGGCAAGGGGGUUUUCCUUCAAAUGAUUCCGGCGCCCAGCUUCUAUGCCACCCCAGCCAACGCCAUCUAGAGCUGGGUGAGCCACCCCUGUCCAGUGAUCAUCAACAUCACACUGUCUGUUGACUUUCAGACUGAGUUUGGGCUGGUUGUUACGCAGCCAUAGGUGACCAGAACACCACUGUAUUUUUAUUUCUUAAAACUGUCCCAAUCAUGAUUAAAUAUUUUUAAAUGAUUUACUGAGUAUCUAUUUUUCUUCCUAAACUGUAAACUCCAUGAAAGCCGGAACCCUUAGUACCUUGUCCAUUGUUGUAUUUCCAGCACCUGGCAGUACAACAGAUGCUCUGUAAUAUAUUUAUGGAAUGAAUGAAUGGAUACAACAGCCUGAAAAUACAUGAGGAAUGCCACCAAGGUGAAAAUGAAAAUCAGAACAGUUCCUGAGGACACACAGUUAUUUUGGCGAUUAGGAAAGUGCAGAAGGAUAUGCAGCUUAUAUAGGACAACAACUGUGGAACUUGGAUGCUGUUUUGUAAUUUUGCAUAUAACCACCAUCCAAUCAAAUUUGUGUGUAUACUAACACACACCAUCUCAACAAAAGCCUUUGAUAAUCUUUUGACACCCUUAAAAGUUAGGUUCAGAGUAGAUCCUUGGUUCGUGCAACUUCGUUAAUGCAUUUAUCAAAGAUUUAACUAUAAUCACAUACCAAAACAAGUAUCGUCUCCCAUAGGUGGGAAAGUUGUUGUCAACUUAAACUCCAUAGAGGAAGAGCUGUUUGAAGAUGAGUAUAUUCAAGCCAGCAAAGUGUGAGACGUAGGGUGUUGUUGACAAGUGUUACUGCAAAACACUCAGCUAUUAUUUUUGAGAACACGUGGCAGACUGAGGUCCCAGAAGGGGGAAAAGCUACAAUGGUGCCCAUGUUUUCAAAAGGGGAGAACUUCUCAGGAAAAGAGAAAAACAGAACAAAACACCAAUUUAUCCAUUUGUGGUCACCAGGCAGAACUCGAGGUCCUGAGCAGCCAGCUUGGCUUGAGGGAGAUGGAUUUGGGACCAGGACCAACUCAGCCUCCAGUGAGAGUGACAGGCUGGGUAAACAAUUGCACAGUGAUGAAUGACUGUAUUUGGGCUUCUUGGUUGUUUGACUGCAGGUGAAUAAAUCAAAUGCCUCUUGAAAGAACGGCGCCUGGCCUGAGAAGAUUUUAUAAACAUCUCCUACUUCUGGGGGAGAAACUCGUACAACCUUGUGAACUGGACCCACUCAAAUGUUGCAUAACUUCAACUGGUCAUAAUUCUGUGUAUCCUGGUCAGAGCCCUCUUCCACCCUCUGGUUCAGUUUCUCCAGUGACGGUAUCGGCAGUCUCCUUUAAGGUGGAAGAAGGGUGGACAUCAAUUACCAAGAUGGGAAAGGACUCCUCGCCCACUGCUAUUAACUGCUGCCACACACACCCUUUUCUUUUUAAACCCAGUAUUCUGUCUAUCCCAUCUGCAGUGCGGUGGACUGAAUGUAUGUGUCCCCCUACCCCCAAUUCAUAAGUUGAAAUCCUAACCCCCUGUGUGAUGGUACUGGGCGGUGGGGCCUUUGAAAGGUGAUUAGGGUUAGUGUCCUUAUAGAAGGGACUCCUGAUUGCUCUGUGCCCUCUUUCUGCCAUGUGAGGAUACACCAAGGGAACAGCAGUCUACAACUCAGAAGACGGCUCUCAUCAGAACCUGACAGUGCUGGCCCCCUGAUCUCGGACUUCUAGCCUCCAGAACUGUGAGAAAUACAUUUCUGUAGUUUAUCAGCCACCCCCUUUACAUUUGGUUAUAGCAGCCCGAGUUAAAGCACAUACAAAACCUCGGGCUUCCCUGGAGGCGCAGUGGUUAAGAAUCCGCCUGCCAAUGCAGGAGACACAGAUUUGAGCCCUGGCCCGGGAAGAUCCCACAUGCCGCAGAGCAACUAAGCCCGUGCGCCACAACUACUGAGCCUGCGCUCUAGAGCCUGCGAGCCACAACUACUGAGCCUGUGUGCCUAGAGCCCAUGCUCUGCAACAAGAGAAGCCAACGCAAUGAGAAACCCGCACACCACAAUGAAGAGUAGCCCCUGCUUACCACAACUAGAGAAAGCCCGUGCACAGCAACGAAGACCCAACGCAGCCAAAAAUAAACAAAUAAAAAAAAUCAAAAAA
Long non-coding RNA from Lagenorhynchus albirostris (white-beaked dolphin), 4587 nucleotides. RefSeq lists it as uncharacterized. The record is from RefSeq and is a predicted model, not a curated record. The transcript is spliced from 2 exons. NCBI's taxonomy places the organism in Eukaryota, Metazoa, Chordata, Mammalia, Artiodactyla, Delphinidae.